GACGGAGGAUGCAAGUGUUCUCCGGAAUCACUGGGCGUAAAGCGUCUGUAGGUGGUUUAAUAAGUCAACUGUUAAAUCUUGAAGCUCAACUUCAAAAUCUGAGUCGAAACUAUUAGACUAGAGUAUAGUAGGGGUAAAGGGAAUUUCCAGUGGAGCGGUGAAAUGCGUAGAGAUUGGAAAGAACACCGAUGGCGAAGGCACUUUACUGGGCUAUUACUGACACUCAGAGACGAAAGCUAGGUUAGCAAAUGGG
Molecule: ribosomal RNA, 253 nt
Filed under: uncultured bacterium
Lineage: Bacteria
Description: partial 16S ribosomal RNA
Rfam family: Bacterial small subunit ribosomal RNA
Source: RNAcentral